Molecule: ribosomal RNA, 292 nt
Filed under: uncultured bacterium
Lineage: Bacteria
Description: partial 16S ribosomal RNA
Rfam family: Bacterial small subunit ribosomal RNA
Source: RNAcentral
GUGCCAGCCGCCGCGGUAAUACAGGGGGUGCAAACGUUGCUCGGAAUUAUUGGGCGUAAAGCGCGCGUAGGCGGCUACUUAAGUCGGAUGUGAAAGCCCUUGGCUCAACUGAGGAAGUGCACCCGAAACUGAGUGGCUUGAGUACUAAAGAGGGUCGCGGAAUUCCCGGUGUAGAGGUGAAAUUCGUAGAUAUCGGGAGGAACACCGGUGGCGAAGGCGGCGACCUGGGUAGAUACUGACGCUGAGGCGCGAAAGCGUGGGGAGCAAACAGGAUUAGAUACCCCUGUAGUCC